Vanessa atalanta (red admiral) is the source of this 242-nucleotide long non-coding RNA. RefSeq lists it as uncharacterized. The record is from RefSeq and is a predicted model, not a curated record. Lineage: Eukaryota; Metazoa; Arthropoda; Insecta; Lepidoptera; Nymphalidae. The transcript has 3 exons.
CAUCCCGAAUAUGAAUCGGCACUUCUGGUGCUGAACAUGAUGCCAAGGAAGAAUCUGUAAAUGUUCAUUUCAAGAGAUUGAAGGCAUUAAAGAUCACUACAAUGUUUUUACUGUAAGUCGGUCUUAAUAUUAAAACUGUUCUAAAUAUUAAACUACUAACUCAGGAUUGAUAAAUUACCUGCUUGUCUGAGAAUCUGUCUUUUCGCUGUUCGUAAAGUCUUCAAAGUUAUUACAUAACCUAA